Molecule: long non-coding RNA, 371 nt
Filed under: Anser brachyrhynchus (Pink-footed goose)
Lineage: Eukaryota; Metazoa; Chordata; Aves; Anseriformes; Anatidae
Description: lncRNA (ENSABRG00000016725.1)
Source: RNAcentral
UUCUGUUAAAAACUUCAACUAACCAUCAGCCUAAUGCUUUCAUCCCAGAGAUUUGAUUGCAUGGACUGCUCUGAAGUAAAUGAGCUCCAAAUUACAUUAUGCUUGAACUAACUGCGUCUACUCACUAGAAGUAUCUCAGUCCACAGCGGCACAGGAAGACAUGAAAGACUCUCUACCCAAAAUAUGUAAGAAGAAACUGAAAACAGAUAAAGAAACAAAGAACAGAAGGGCAGCCAGCAUCAGAACUCAACCUUUUAUUUUUUUAUUUUAUUUUUCACUUUAGUUUUAGUUUUAAUUUGCUCUUUGGAUUUUCAUGUACUGUGUAAGUGUGUGCCCAUUAAUAAAUACCUUGCUAACUAGUUUGAAGUGCA